RNAcentral lists this long non-coding RNA (530 nucleotides) under Nicotiana tabacum (common tobacco). RNAcentral's name for it is "long non-coding RNA (NTAB_LNC018673)". The record is from RNAcentral. Lineage: Eukaryota; Viridiplantae; Streptophyta; Magnoliopsida; Solanales; Solanaceae.
CUUUUAGGGUAUGGGUUGAAUUUCUUUAGUUUAGUUAGUUUAUGUUUAAACUCGUAGGAUAUGAAUUGAAAUUUUAGUUUUUAGGAUUUGUUCUUGUGAAUUGAACUUUUAGGAUAUGAAUUGAACUUUUAAGAUAUGAAUUGGACCUUUUGGAUAUGAAUUAAACUUUUAGGAUAUAAAUUGGUGUAAUUAGGAAAAAAUAAUUAUCUUGAAUUAACUAAAAAAGUUAUAAUUAAUUUAUAAUUGUAGAAUAAAUUAAUUUGUUCUUGUGAAUCGAACUUUUAGGGUAUGGGUUGAAUUUCUUUAGUUUAGUUAGUUUAUGUUUAAACUCGUAGGAUAUGAAUUGAAAUUUUAGUUUUUAGGAUUUGUUCUUGUGAAUUGAACUUUUAUGAUAUAAAUUGAACUUUUAGGAUAUGAAUUGGACCCUUUGGAUAUGAAUUGAACUUUUAGGAUAUAAAUUGGUGUAAUUAGGAAAAAAUAAUUAUCUUGAAUUAACUAAAAAAGAUAUAAUUAAUUUAUAAUUGUAGAAU